This 208-nucleotide long non-coding RNA is filed under the name Elaeis guineensis (African oil palm). RNAcentral describes it as "long non-coding RNA (EGUI_LNC005130)". Lineage: Eukaryota; Viridiplantae; Streptophyta; Magnoliopsida; Arecales; Arecaceae. The record is from RNAcentral.
GUGGAGGAGAAAUCAUAGCCUACAGCAAACAUUGCUCACCAAGAUAUUGGUGGUAAAGCAAAUAUAUUCUCUACAACUUCUAAGAAUAGUACUUCAAUUAUUGAUACAGGUGUAUUUGAUUACAUGACUAGAGACUCUGGUCAAUUACAAUCUAUUCGUCCUUCUUUCUAAUCUGUUAUAUCUACUGCUAAAGGUAGUACCUCUCCUA